Long non-coding RNA from Rana temporaria (common frog), 607 nucleotides. RefSeq lists it as uncharacterized. Lineage: Eukaryota; Metazoa; Chordata; Amphibia; Anura; Ranidae. The transcript has 3 exons. The record is from RefSeq and is a predicted model, not a curated record.
CCUCCGACGAGACCUCCGGCGAGUCUACAGGCAGCUCCGUAUACCGUAGAAAACAGCGCAGCCCACACCUCUUACACUCGAAUACAGCAACCCCAUGGAUCACCAGCACAGAGGCGCAGUGGGGAGCGAUGAUCGGCUCAACAUGCUGCAGUCGCCCUUACACCGAGCCACAAGCCCCAGUUGGUCUUUCGACACUAUUCCAUGGCAUUUGGACAAUGUAUAAACUGAUGCUCAAUUGUUUUCCUUUCACACUUCUAAUUGAUGUAAUUCAUUACACUGAAAGGGCUCAUCAGCACUAUGUGGCAUACACAGAAGCAUCUCAAUUGAGACCAGCUGCAGCUACCAUACAUACUGAUGGAGGUUGCGUUAAUCAAGACUUUUUUUCGGGUACCUGAAUUCGCGUCUGACUGUGUGUCCUCACAGCCUCUGUGCCAAGCUUCCAAGAUCCAGUAAUCGGUGCCAUUCUUAGUCCUCUUCUAGUCUACCUGCACUACACUGCACGUGACACUACUAUUCACUUUUACUGUAUCUUUUGUUUUCAUUUACAAAUUUAGGUUUCUUCGAUGAGAUAAAAACGUGAAUUAUUUGUCAAUAAUCUUUUACUAUU